CCUACGGGUGGCAGCAGUGGGGAAUAUUGCACAAUGGGGGAAACCCUGAUGCAGCGACGCCGCGUGAGUGAAGAAGUAUUUCGGUAUGUAAAGCUCUAUCAGCAGGGAAGAAAAUGACGGUACCUGAUUAAGAAGCCCCGGCUAACUACGUGCAAGCAGCCGCGGUAAUACGGAGGGAGCAAGCGUUAUCCGGAUUUACUGGGUGUAAAGGGAGCGUAGACGGCAUCACAAGUCUGGAGUGAAAGGCCGGGGCUGAACCCCAGAACUGCUGUGGAUACUGGGCGGCUAGAGUGCAGGAGAGGUAGGUGGAAUUCCUAGUGUAGCGGUGAAAUGCGUAGAUAUUAGGAGGAACACCAGUGGCGAAGGCAGCUUACUGGACUGUAACUGACGUUGAGGCUCGAAAGCGUGGGGAGCAAACAGGAUUAGAUACCCCUGUAGUC
This 440-nucleotide ribosomal RNA is filed under the name uncultured bacterium. RNAcentral's name for it is "partial 16S ribosomal RNA". It matches the Rfam family "Bacterial small subunit ribosomal RNA", at positions 338 to 795 of the family's 1533-position model. The record is from RNAcentral.